GACGGCAGACCUGAGGGCGCGCCGCGGGCCGACACCUCUCUGGGAGAGGCAGAGCAGCGUCUCCCCGUCUCCCGGAAGUGAGCCGUCCGCGGACACCUGAGGCUUCCUGCAGUCUCUGCGUGGAUUCGGAUUACAGCGGAAAUGAGGCCGCGCCACUGCGUUUCCAGCUAGUGAUGUUAAACCGCCGAGAUGUACGCUCGCCGGCACUCUGUCAAGCCGUUCACCUGGAGAUCACAAGUCUGCAUUUCUACCGAGAGAAAGAAGAGACAGUGUGGAACCCAGGGAGCGAGCAGUGAACUCCCGGGAAGGGCAUUCUGAACGUCACGUGCUGUCUGCCAGCUCUCACGUCGGGGCAGAGCCUCCGCACCUCCCUACUGGCCCGCGAGGCUGGGGCCCCGUGAGCUGUGGCGCCCCCCGCCCUCCUUGUGCUCUUUGGCUUUUCAUCUGCUGUUUCUCUCCCUUCCCAAAGCAGUUUCCCUUCGAGUCAUUUAUGUUGAAAAGUAUUCAUGCGCCACUGAAAGGCUGGAUGAGAAUUUAAGAAAGAGGCGGCAACCCCAUGGCUGGAAUAGCAGGAACACCUUCUGCUAGUUGCUCUUUAAGAGGAUGGAAGAAAGUAAGACCUCUCCUUACUAAAUUCAGUAUACACAAGUGUUCCAUAGAGAGCAGAGAUUUCUUCGGUACUGGGCUGCGGAUGUUGCUUAGCAGUAGAGAGCAUUUGUAGCACAUGUGAGGCCCUGGAUUUAAACCCCAGCACCAAGAAGAAAGAGAGAAAGGGAAAGGAAAGAGAGAAGGCAAAAGCCAAGAAAUGAGUGGAAAAGAGGAUUUCUUCAAUAUAAAAGUAAGCGAUCUUUGCAGAAGGGCGUUUCAUUUUCAUCUAGGCAAAAUGUAUGUGUUAUGAAAGGAUCUGCAGAUAAUGGCAUAAAGACAUAAAAUCUGUUACCUAUAGGGAGUGCGUAUUUAGAAGAACAGCUUUUGGGGAAAAGAUAAUAGCAUUGUAUGGUAGGUCCUUAAUUCAAAUCUUGUAAAAAUGUGAUUUAUAGUUUACAUAGUGUUUACUAAUGGUGCUACACGGUUGUUUUCAUAUAGGCUUCUCCUGUCAUCUGUUACUGAGUUAUUUUAAAAUACUUGUUUGUAAUGGUGUUGUCCCAGAAAUUUUAUGGGAAAUUAUUCUCAAAGUAUCUGGAAACCUCUGAGUCAGAGGUUCUAGGUGUCUCCACAUCUAGAUUUGUAAGGUGCUGGAUCAUCCAGUAUCUUUGCCCCUACAAGAUGUAGAUGCUGUCUUGGACCUUGUUAAGGGCAUCAGAAGGACUACAAGCUUUUUUUAUACAAAAGAUCCAAGUAAGUACACUCUAGAUAGGGACAUUUGCAGUGUAGUUCAAAAUAUUUCUAUACAUCUCACAACUGAGUAGAUAACUGUAGUUAUUCAUCUUUCAAAAAUUACUCCUGACAGAAGAUCAAAGUUACAUUUAAAAAAUCCCAAUCUUGUUUUCCUUCUUUCCACUUCUAGAAGGAGAUGACUCAAACGUGGUCAAGUCUGAAAACUGGCUUUAAUCUCUCAUGCAUUUCUUUUAUUGUGGAAAGUUGCUGAAAUCUUUGCAUUCAUAUUAAUAAAGAUUUGACUAUAAUCCAGGCACCAUUAAAUUAUUUCUUUUGCCCUUAGAAUUUUCACAUACCAUUACGACACUGCUUUCUCCAUUUAUGUAUUGAAGAUUCUCUGCUGAAAAAUUAAUAUCACAGAGUAUAAGUCAAAUAUCUAAUUUUCCAGUACUAGAGAAUGGAAAAUUCAUCUUAUUGAAAUACCCAUUAAAUAAAAAAGUAUAUUAAAGUCAGGUGUAGCCUCUAAAAUUUU
Fukomys damarensis (Damara mole-rat) is the source of this 1849-nucleotide long non-coding RNA. The record is from Ensembl. Lineage: Eukaryota; Metazoa; Chordata; Mammalia; Rodentia; Bathyergidae.